Ceratotherium simum simum (southern white rhinoceros) is the source of this 101-nucleotide non-coding RNA. NCBI's taxonomy places the organism in Eukaryota, Metazoa, Chordata, Mammalia, Perissodactyla, Rhinocerotidae. The record is from RefSeq and is a predicted model, not a curated record.
CUUAACAAUACCAAUAAACAUGUAUUAUCUCACACAGUUUCUGAGAGUCAGGAAUCUGGGAGUGACUUAGCUGGGUGGUUUUGGUUCAGGGGUCUUCUAUG